UAAUAAUAAUAAUAAUAAUAAUAAUAAUAAUAACUAGAUUGCAGUUCCUACAGAAACUGCGAGUGUGAUUGCAGAGCUGGCUGGUAUCUGCUAUGGUGUUGCUAAGGUGUUGCUAAGUGGUUGCUAAGGUGUUGCUAUCGUAUCCAGGGUGGUUGCUAAGGUGUUGCUAAGUGGUUGCUAGGUGGUUGCUAAGGUGUUGCUAGGUGGUUGCUAAGGUGUUGCAAUGGUAUCCGGGGUGGUUGCUAAGGUGUUGCUAGAUGGUUGCUAGGCGGUUGCUAAGGUGUUGCUAUGGUAUCCGGGGUGGUUGCUAAGGUGUUGCUAGGUGGUUGCUAAGGUGUUGCUAUGGUAUCCGGGGUGGUUGCUAAGGUGUUGCUAGGUGGUUGCUAGGGUGUUGCUAGGCGGUUGCUAAGGUGUUGCUAUGGUAUCCGGGGUGGUUGCUAAGGUGUUGCUAGGUGGUUGCUAAGGUGUUGCUAUGGUAUCCGGGGUCGUUGCUAAGGUGUUGCUAGGUGGUUGCUAGGGUGUUGCUAGGCGGUUGCUAAGGUGUUGCUAUGGUAUCCGGGAUGGUUGCUAAGGUGUUGCUAGGUGGUUGCUAGGUGGUUGCUAGGGUGUUGCUAGGCGGUUGCUAAGGUGUUGCUAUGGUAUCCGGGGUGGUUGCUAAGGUGUUGCAAGGUGGUUGCUAGGGUGUUGCUAGGCAGUUGCUAAGGUGUUGCUAUGGUAUCCGGGGUGGUUGCUAAGGUGUUGCUAGGUGGUUGCUAGGUGGUUGCUAGGGUGUUGCUAGGCGG
Astyanax mexicanus (Mexican tetra) is the source of this 782-nucleotide long non-coding RNA. RefSeq lists it as uncharacterized. The record is from RefSeq and is a predicted model, not a curated record. NCBI's taxonomy places the organism in Eukaryota, Metazoa, Chordata, Actinopteri, Characiformes, Acestrorhamphidae. The transcript is spliced from 3 exons.